This 690-nucleotide ribosomal RNA is filed under the name uncultured Bacteroidales bacterium. Its description in RNAcentral is "bacterial SSU rRNA". It matches the Rfam family "Bacterial small subunit ribosomal RNA", at positions 32 to 715 of the family's 1533-position model. Lineage: Bacteria; Pseudomonadati; Bacteroidota; Bacteroidia; Bacteroidales. The record is from RNAcentral.
AACGCUAGCUACAGGCUUAACACAUGCAAGUCGAGGGGCAGCGCAGUGUAGCAAUACACGGGCGGCGACCGGCGCACGGGUGCGUAACGCGUAUCCAACUUUCCCGUUACUCUUGGAUAGCCUUCCGAAAGGGAGAUUAAUACAAGAUGGUAUCUGAAUUUCGCAUGUUAAUCAGAUUAAAGAUUUAUCGGUAACGGAUAGGGAUGCGUGACAUUAGGUAGAUGGCGGGGUAACGGCCCACCAUGCCUACGAUGUCUAGGGGUUCUGAGAGGAAGGUCCCCCACACUGGAACUGAGACACGGUCCAGACUCCUACGGGAGGCAGCAGUGAGGAAUAUUGGUCAAUGGCCGGAAGGCUGAACCAGCCAAGUAGCGUGAAGGAUGAAGGUUCUAUGGAUUGUAAACUUCUUUUAUAUAGGAAUAGAACCUCCCACGUGUGGGAGCUUGUAUGUACUAUAUGAAUAAGCAUCGGCUAACUCCGUGCCAGCAGCCGCGGUAAUACGGAGGAUGCGAGCGUUAUCCGGAUUUAUUGGGUUUAAAGGGAGCGUAGACGGGAUGUUAAGUCAGUUGUGAAAGGCUGCGGCUCAACCGCAGCACUGCAGUUGAUACUGGCGUCCUUGAGUGCGGUUGAGGUAUGUGGAAUUCGUGGUGUAGCGGUGAAAUGCUUAGAUAUCACGAAGAACUCCGAUUG